GACGUAGGGAGCGAGCGUUGUCCGGAUUCAUUGGGCGUAAAGGGUCCGUAGGCGGCUCAGCAAGUCGGGUGUGAAAUCUCCAGGCUCAACCUGGAGGGGCCACUCGAUACUGCUGUGGCUUGAGUCCAGUAGGGGAGCAUGGAAUUCCCGGUGUAGCGGUGAAAUGCGCAGAUAUCGGGAGGAACACCAGUGGCGAAGGCGGUGCUCUGGGGCUGGAACUGACGCUGAUGGACGAAAGCGUGGGUAG
This 247-nucleotide ribosomal RNA is filed under the name uncultured bacterium. Its description in RNAcentral is "partial 16S ribosomal RNA". It matches the Rfam family "Bacterial small subunit ribosomal RNA", at positions 524 to 768 of the family's 1533-position model. The record is from RNAcentral.